Molecule: ribosomal RNA, 459 nt
Filed under: uncultured bacterium
Lineage: Bacteria
Description: partial 16S ribosomal RNA
Rfam family: Bacterial small subunit ribosomal RNA
Source: RNAcentral
CCUACGGGAGGCAGCAGUGAGGAAUAUUGGUCAAUGGGCGAGAGCCUGAACCAGCCAAGUCGCGUGAGGGAGUACUGCCCUAUGGGUUGUAAACCUCUUUUGUCGGGGAGCAAAAGCCGGACGUGUCCGGCUGUUAGAGUACCCGAAGAAAAAGCAUCGGCUAACUCCGUGCCAGCAGCCGCGGUAAUACGGAGGAUGCGAGCGUUGUCCGGAAUUACUGGGUGUAAAGGGAGCGCAGGCGGGAAGCCAAGUCAGCUGUGAAAACUACGGGCUUAACUUGUAGACUGCAGUUGAAACUGGUGUUCUUGAGUGAAGUAGAGGUUGGCGGAAUUCCGAGUGUAGCGGUGAAAUGCGUAGAUAUUCGGAGGAACACCGGUGGCGAAGGUGGCCAACUGGGCUUUAACUGACGCUGAGGCUCGAAAGUGUGGGGAGCAAACAGGAUUAGAUACCCCUGUAGUC